AGUCCUGUAGCUCAGUGGUUAGAGCACUUGUCUCAAAAGCAAGAGACCUGGGUUUGAUUCCCAAGCAGGACGA
Molecule: transfer RNA, 73 nt
Filed under: Callorhinchus milii (elephant shark)
Lineage: Eukaryota; Metazoa; Chordata; Chondrichthyes; Chimaeriformes; Callorhinchidae
Description: tRNA-Leu (CAA) (tRNA-Leu-CAA-13-1)
Rfam family: tRNA
About the family: Transfer RNA (tRNA) molecules are approximately 80 nucleotides in length. Their secondary structure includes four short double-helical elements and three loops (D, anti-codon, and T loops).
Source: Rfam by way of RNAcentral